UAAACUGUAAUCUCGAUCCUAUAACUUGACUCAUAGUAUGGCCUCUUUCAUAAAACUAUUUUUCAAAAUCAUGCAUAUUUAAUUCUGUGUCAAAAAGAUUUUAAAUCAUACAUAUUUACAUUAGGCAAAAUGUUUUCUAAACAUGCCUCAAAAAUCUGGGCUAAAAUAAUUGAUUAUGUAUUUAUGAUAAUCGAUUGUUUCUGAGCCAAGACUGCAUGACAAUCGAUUAUGAAU
Molecule: long non-coding RNA, 234 nt
Filed under: Nicotiana benthamiana
Lineage: Eukaryota; Viridiplantae; Streptophyta; Magnoliopsida; Solanales; Solanaceae
Description: long non-coding RNA (NBEN_LNC000971)
Source: RNAcentral